Molecule: ribosomal RNA, 598 nt
Filed under: Thaxterogaster oregonensis
Lineage: Eukaryota; Fungi; Basidiomycota; Agaricomycetes; Agaricales; Cortinariaceae
Description: eukaryotic LSU rRNA
Rfam family: Eukaryotic large subunit ribosomal RNA
Source: RNAcentral
UGUGACCUCAAAUCAGGUAGGACUACCCGCUGAACUUAAGCAUAUCAAUAAGCGGAGGAAAAGAAACUAACAAGGAUUCCCCUAGUAACUGCGAGUGAAGCGGGAAAAGCUCAAAUUUAAAAUCUGGCAGUCUCCGGCUGUCCGAGUUGUAAUCUAGAGAAGUGUUAUCCGCGUUGGACCGUGUACAAGUCUCCUGGAAUGGAGCAUCAUAGAGGGUGAGAAUCCCGUCUUUGACACGGACUGCCAGGGCUUUGUGAUGCGCUCUCGAAGAGUCGAGUUGUUUGGGAAUGCAGCUCAAAAUGGGUGGUAAAUUCCAUCUAAAGCUAAAUAUUGGCGAGAGACCGAUAGCGAACAAGUACCGUGAGGGAAAGAUGAAAAGAACUUUGGAAAGAGAGUUAAACAGUACGUGAAAUUGCUGAAAGGGAAACGCUUGAAGUCAGUCGCGUUGGCCAGGGAUCAACCUUGCUUUUGCUUGGUGUACUUUCUGGUUGACGGGUCAGCAUCAAUUUUGACCAUUGGAAAAAGGUCAAGGGAAUGUGGCAUCUUCGGAUGUGUUAUAGCCCUUGGUUGCAUACAGUGGUUGGGAUUGAGGAACUCA